AGGAGAGGAGAGGAGAGGAACAUAAAUGUGUUUUUGCUCAUUUGAACUCACCCUGACUCGAGUGUUUGCAGCAGCAGCGGACAGUUAAGAAGCCCCUCCGUCACGAAUAACACGUAUGGCACAUUGUCCUCCAGACACCACAAGAUCGCAGACCACGGAGACUGGCCUGGAUGGUCGUACUCAACCACCAGAGAGAAACAGGUCCAGGGGAAGUUGGGGCCAAUAUCCUGUUCAUACACCACCACACACACACUGUCAGGCACACUGGGAACAGGACAGAGUGUGAGAACAGCAUGUUUAGUCAUACUUAUUCAGACAGCGUGACGAAUGACCCCUAAACUGAAGAUCACUAUAAACAGCUAUUACAUGUAUACAUUUUGUUAUUGCCAGAAUAUAAAAUAAUGCCAUAUUCUGGUUGUGAUUUAUAAGUAAUUUGCUGAAAUUAGGCUGUGAUCUGGACUAAAAACAAACAGAAAAGAAUUAUACACUCAACAUAUAUCUCAAUAUUUUCAAUAGGCUCUUCUAAUAUAUGUUUUAACAUAUUUGAGCACAAACC
Long non-coding RNA from Archocentrus centrarchus (flier cichlid), 556 nucleotides. RefSeq lists it as uncharacterized. The record is from RefSeq and is a predicted model, not a curated record. The transcript is spliced from 3 exons. Lineage: Eukaryota; Metazoa; Chordata; Actinopteri; Cichliformes; Cichlidae.